GUCUAACAUCAGAGAUGAGCAAUUCAUGAUGCUUUUUCUUUUCUUUUUUUUUUUUUUCAGACAACUUCUUACUUUGUUGCCCAGGCUGAAGUGCAGUGAUGCGAUCACGGCUCACUGCAGCCUCGACCUCCCAGGCUCAAGCGAUCCUCCCACCUCAACAUCCCAAGUAGCUGGGACUCCAAACGCGUGCCACUAUGCCCGGCUAAGUUUUGUAUUUUUAGUAGAGAUGGAGUUUUGCCAUGUUGCCCCGGCUGGUCUCGGACUCCUGGGCUCAAGCAAUCUGCCUGCCUCUGUCUCCUGAAGUGUUGUGAUUACAGGCAUGAGCCACCGCACCUGGCCAAGAUGCUUUUUCUGUUUCUGAGAUACAAUGAACUAUAUCUUAAGAAUUCAUAAAGCCCUAAAAAGUAAAUAUUUACAACCAGAAAUCUUUCUGACAAAGAAACAAGAUUACUCAAAGUAAGUAGUAGUUUGGGCUCCCUGGAAAGAACCCAGAACUUAAGUGUCAGGAAAUGUGGAUAGUUCUGAAUGUGCCCCUGGCUGGUUGAUGACUCUGGGCAACUUAUGCAGUACCUCUAACUCAUGGUUUAUUUACCUGAAAAAUAAGUGGGUUGGCUAUGUCUGUGGUUUGAAAGGUGCUCUAUGAUGUCCCAGAUGUCUUAGCAGUGUAUCAUUGGCUGUUUUGGAGGCUGUCAGGGGUCCAGAUGGCUGCUCCCACUGAGCCUGCUUUUAACAGAGCUUUUCAGUUUGUAUUUCUUGUAUACACAAAGUAAUAUUAAAUAAAAAAAAUAUAAUCCAGCUAAGAAAGUUUGAGAAUACUGGCUUGAGAUUCAAAAUAAAAUAAACCAAAAAUUUUAGAAAUUAUAUUAGUCUAGAAAGAUAGUAUUGUGUCUCUUUGUCUUUUUAGUACCUAGCACAUAUCAGGUACUUGAUACAUAUUUAUCAUAUGAAUGCAAUGGUUGUAAUGAACAACUGGGAAGGAAAUGCAAAAGCAGAAGGCACCAUAUUUGUGUUGCUAUUCCUGGGUGUCAUUUCUAUGUAACUUGUGAUAACCAGUAGUAAAGAACAACAUGGACUAUGUUUAAUAGACAACAACUAAUUUUAUUGGAUUUGUGUACAUAAUCUGAAAUUUAGUCUAAGGACAAGCCAUAUUACUAUAAAUUCCAGGAAAUCUAGAGAGAAAAAAUGGGCAAUUUAGAACAGACUAGAAGAGUAACUCUUUCAGUUUGUCUGGAAAACCGAAUCUAAGGAAUAAGGUCAGUUUGCAGUUUCUUUCAAGUAGAAUUGGUGACUCUUGGAUGCAGUUUAUAAACACGUAACACAUUUUCCUUGCAUGGAAAUAUAUCUAUUCUAUGACCUCUUCUACAUGAAGAAAAGAUUUGAAAUUUUCUUCUCCAUUAAAUAAUGUUUUGUGUGCAUGUUGCAAAAAUAAGAGAGAAGCAAGAAUAACUCUAGCAGAUGCUUAAAGGUUUAAGAUUAAAGACACAUGUAAAUGUGAUUCAUAGUGGGUGUUCUGUGCACUUGAGUGAAUAUUCCCAAAUCACAGCUAGAAAAAUUUAGGAGUAAAUUGACUUAACUUAUGGUAAAUCAAUAGGGGUCCCUGAAUUGGAGGGAAACAGAUGAGCAAGAAAAAAAUUAUUUGACAGGACUCCACUAAGGAAAACAACAUUCAAGUAACAGAUGAGGUAUUCUACUGCCCAGAGGAAUUACCCAGCCUUUAGCAAGGCGAAGUCAGCCUCAACUGGCAGGAGGUUUGUUUUAAAACUGAAAUGAGAAAAAGGAUCUGGGCUUACAAAUGAUGGGAAGAUAUAUUAUCAACAGGGAAAAAAACCCCCAGAAAAUAGCAACUAACUUGUUUCCCCAGCACAACUGAAAGGAUGAAGAAGGAAAACAAUUUAAUGUACCCUGGUCAUGCAGUUACUUUCCUUUAUCCUUACUAACAGUGCUUGUCAAGAUGGUUCUGGAAACUGAAUAAAUUGUUAUUAACUAAAUUCUAAAAGCUUCAUAUAAUCAUCUGAUACAUACAUCACAUCAAUUUCAGCCUAGGCUCUCUAUGGUGGCAAAUUAUUUCAGCACUAAAUCAUGAAGGCUGGAUUCUUGAAGCCUGGCAGAGGCAAAUGUCUCAUUAAUGCUGAUCUGAGAGACAUCUGUGAUGAGCCUGAACAUCAGGCCAAUCUGCAGAGCUGAUCAGGGGCUGCUGAGUGGUUCUGAAGUGAGUCAGGCUGUGAAUGAAGACUCCACCAGAAUGAGGAGAAUUCCAUGCAUGGAGAUUCAAAUAAAGACAAAAGGGAGAUGCAACUAUGGAGGCUGAGAAGUCCCACCAUCGGAGCGCCUCUGCCCCGCCGCCCCAUCUGGGAUGUGAGGAGCGCCUCUGCCCGGCCGAGACCCCGUCUGGGAGGUGAGGAGCGUCUCUGCCCGGCCGCCCCGUCUGAGAAGUGAGGAGACCCUCUGCCUGGCAACCACCCCGUCUGAGAAGUGAGGAGCCCCUCCGCCCGGCAGCUGCCCCGUCUGAGAAGUGAGGAGCCUCUCCGCCCGGCAGCCACCCCAUCUGGGAAGUGAGGAGCGUCUCCGCCCGGCAGCCACCCCGUCCGGGAGGGAGGUGGGGGGGGGUCAGCCCCCCGCCCGGCCAGCCGCCCCAUCCGGGAGGGAGGUGGGGGGUCAGCCCCCCCGCCCGGCCAGCCGUGCCAUCCGGGAGGGAGGUGGGGGGGUCAGCCCCCCGCCUGGCCAGCCGUGCCGUCCGGGAGGGAGGUGGGGGGGUCAGCCCCCCGUCCGGCCAGCCGCCCCGUCCGGGAGGUGAGGGGCGCCUCUGCCCGGCCGCCCCUACUGGGAAGUGAGGAGCCCCUCAGCCCGGCCAGCCACCCCGUCCGGGAGGGAGAUGGGGGGGUCAGCCCCCCCACCCGGCCAGCCGCCCCGUCCGGGAGGGAGGUAGGGGGGUCAGCCCCCCGCCUGGCCAGCCGCCCCGUCCGGGAGGGAGGUGGGGGGGUCAGCCCUCCGCCCGGCCAGCCGCCCCGUCUGGGAGGUGAGGGGCGCCUCUGCCCAGCCGCCCCUACUGGGAAGUGAGG
This 3059-nucleotide long non-coding RNA is filed under the name Homo sapiens (human). RNAcentral describes it as "HSALNT0210306". The record is from RNAcentral. Lineage: Eukaryota; Metazoa; Chordata; Mammalia; Primates; Hominidae.